AUUGAACGCUGGCGGCAGGCCUAACACAUGCAAGUCGAACGGUAACAGGAAGCAGCUUGCUGCUUUGCUGACGAGUGGCGGACGGGUGAGUAAUGUCUGGGAAACUGCCUGAUGGAGGGGGAUAACUACUGGAAACGGUAGCUAAUACCGCAUAACGUCGCAAGACCAAAGAGGGGGACCUUAGGGCCUCUUGCCAUCGGAUGUGCCCAGAUGGGAUUAGCUAGUAGGUGGGGUAACGGCUCACCUAGGCGACGAUCCCUAGCUGGUCUGAGAGGAUGACCAGCCACACUGGAACUGAGACACGGUCCAGAUUCCUACGGGAGGCAGCAGUGGGGAAUAUUGCACAAUGGGCGCAAGCCUGAUGCAGCCAUGCCGCGUGUAUGAAGAAGGCCUUCGGGUUGUAAAGUACUUUCAGCGGGGAGGAAGGAAGUAAAGUUAAUACCUUUGCUCAUUGACGUUACCCGCAGAAGAAGCACCGGCUAACUCCGUG
RNAcentral lists this ribosomal RNA (490 nucleotides) under uncultured bacterium. RNAcentral's name for it is "partial 16S ribosomal RNA". It matches the Rfam family "Bacterial small subunit ribosomal RNA", at positions 30 to 507 of the family's 1533-position model. The record is from RNAcentral.